AACAGGAUUAGAUACCCUGGUAGUCCACGCUGUAAACGAUGUCGAUUUGGAGGUUGUGCCCUUGAGGCGUGGCUUCCGGAGCUAACGCGUUAAAUCGACCGCCUGGGGAGUACGGCCGCAAGGUUAAAACUCAAAUGAAUUGACGGGGGCCCGCACAAGCGGUGGAGCAUGUGGUUUAAUUCGAUGCAACGCGAAGAACCUUACCUACUCUUGACAUCCAGAGAACUUAGCAGAGAUGCUUUGGUGCCUUCGGGAACUCUGAGACAGGUGCUGCAUGGCUGUCGUCAGCUCGUGUUGUGAAAUGUUGGGUUAAGUCCCGCAACGAGCGCAACCCUUAUCCUUUGUUGCCAGCGCGUAAUGGCGGGAACUCAAAGGAGACUGCCGGUGAUAAACCGGAGGAAGGUGGGGAUGACGUCAAGUCAUCAUGGCCCUUACGAGUAGGGCUACACACGUGCUACAAUGGCGCAUACAAAGAGAAGCGACCUCGCGAGAGCAAGCGGACCUCAUAAAGUGCGUCGUAGUCCGGAUUGGAGUCUGCAACUCGACUCCAUGAAGUCGGAAUCGCUAGUAAUCGUAAAUCAGAAUGUUACGGUGAAUACGUUCCCGGGCCUUGUACACACCGCCCGUCACACCAUGGGAGUGGGUUGCAAAAGAAGUAGAUAGCUUAACCUUCGGGAGGGCGUUUACCACUUUGUGAUUCAUGACUGGGGUGAAGUCGUAACAAGGUAACCGUAGGGGAACCUGCGGCUGGAUCACCUCCUU
Molecule: ribosomal RNA, 762 nt
Filed under: uncultured bacterium
Lineage: Bacteria
Description: bacterial SSU rRNA
Rfam family: Bacterial small subunit ribosomal RNA
Source: RNAcentral